CGGAAUCACUCAUGCAAUGCGGCUCCUUCGCGCUGUCUGCGCUCACCUGACGACGGCUGGCUACUUCGUUAGCC
RNAcentral lists this small RNA (74 nucleotides) under Xanthomonas prunicola. RNAcentral's name for it is "sX9 sRNA". It matches the Rfam family "Xanthomonas sRNA sX9". Lineage: Bacteria; Pseudomonadati; Pseudomonadota; Gammaproteobacteria; Lysobacterales; Lysobacteraceae. The record is from RNAcentral.